AUUGAACGCUGGCGGCAGGCCUAACACAUGCAAGUCGAGCGGAUGAAGGGAGCUUGCUCCUGGAUUCAGCGGCGGACGGGUGAGUAAUGCCUAGGAAUCUGCCUGGUAGUGGGGGAUAACGUCCGGAAACGGGCGCUAAUACCGCAUACGUCCUGAGGGAGAAAGUGGGGGAUCUUCGGACCCCUCGCUCUAGAGGAAUCCUAGGUCGGAUUAGCUAGUUGGUGGGGUAAAGGCCUACCAAGGCGACGAUCCGUACCUGGUCUGAGAGGAUGAUCAGUCACACUGGAACUGAGACACGGUCCAGACUCCUACGGGAGGCAGCAGUGGGGAAUAUUGGACAAAGGGCGAAAGCCUGAUCCAGCCAUGCCGCGUGUGUGAAGAAGGUCUUCGGAUUGUAAAGCACUUUAAGUUGGGAGGAAGGGCAGUAAGUUAAUACCUUGCUGUUUUGACGUUACCAACAGAAUAAGCACCGGCUAACUUCGUG
This 484-nucleotide ribosomal RNA is filed under the name uncultured bacterium. Its description in RNAcentral is "partial 16S ribosomal RNA". It matches the Rfam family "Bacterial small subunit ribosomal RNA", at positions 30 to 507 of the family's 1533-position model. The record is from RNAcentral.